Molecule: long non-coding RNA, 479 nt
Filed under: Nicotiana benthamiana
Lineage: Eukaryota; Viridiplantae; Streptophyta; Magnoliopsida; Solanales; Solanaceae
Description: long non-coding RNA (NBEN_LNC021975)
Source: RNAcentral
UGGACAUUGAAAGACACAGAGUCUGGAUUAAAGUGAGAAGGGCACUGGACUUGUCUUUGCUUCUCAUCAUUGAGGACCAUAUUAUAGACACCGUCAAGGGUUGGAGGUGGCUGCAUCAUCAAAAGGUUACUCCUUACCCCCAUGUAUGCUUCAUUAAGGCCCAUUAGAAACUCAAAUACCUUAUUUUCAUCAUUUUUCUGUAUUAUACCAUCUUUGGCAGCAUAAACACAUCUUUGUCCAUGAUUGGCACACAUUGAUUCUAUUUCAUCCCACAGACCUUUGAGUUUAUUAAAAUAUGAAGCUACAUCUAGGGACCCUUGAGAGGUGUGAGAAAGCUCUCUUUUCAAUUCAAAAAUUUUGGUCCUGUUUGCAGUACCAUAUCUGUCCUGAAGUUGGGACCAUAUACUCUGUGCAGUAUCAGAAUACUGCACAGUUUCAGCAAUUUGAGGGGAGAGGGAGGCAGUUAACCAGGAAAUCAC